Molecule: ribosomal RNA, 468 nt
Filed under: uncultured bacterium
Lineage: Bacteria
Description: partial 16S ribosomal RNA
Rfam family: Bacterial small subunit ribosomal RNA
Source: RNAcentral
GACGAACGCUGGCGGCGUGCUUAACACAUGCAAGUCGAACGGAAAGGCCCUGCUUUUGUGGGGUGCUCGAGUGGCGAACGGGUGAGUAACACGUGAGUAACCUGCCCUUGACUUUGGGAUAACUUCAGGAAACUGGGGCUAAUACCGGAUAGGAGCUCCUGCUGCAUGGUGGGGGUUGGAAAGUUUCGGCGGUUGGGGAUGGACUCGCGGCUUAUCAGCUUGUUGGUGGGGUAGUGGCUUACCAAGGCUUUGACGGGUAGCCGGCCUGAGAGGGUGACCGGCCACAUUGGGACUGAGAUACGGCCCAGACGCCUACGGGAGGCAGCAGUGGGGAAUAUUGCACAAUGGGCGGAAGCCUGAUGCAGCAACGCCGCGUGCGGGAUGAUGGCCUUCGGGUUGUAAACCGCGUUCGCCUGUGACGAAGCGUGAGUGACGGUAAUGGGUAAAGAAGCACCGGCUAACUACGUG